This 558-nucleotide small RNA is filed under the name Pongo abelii (Sumatran orangutan). RNAcentral describes it as "retained intron". The record is from RNAcentral. Lineage: Eukaryota; Metazoa; Chordata; Mammalia; Primates; Hominidae.
UUUCCUUCAUGUUCCUCCCUCCUCCCUGCCUCUGCCCUCACGGUUGUCCCACAGGACCUUGAAAAGGAAAUCCAGCAACAUGAAGCGCCUGUCCCCAGCGCCACAGCUGGGCCCGUCCUCUGAUGCACACACCUCCUACUACAGUGAGUCGCUGGUCCGCGAGUCCUACAUCGGCACCCGGUUCCCACCCAGGAGCUCCCUGGAGGAACUGCAUGGUGACGCCGACUGGGGUGAGGACCUGCGGGUGCGGAGGAGGAGAGGCACGGGUGGCUCAGAGAGCAGCAGGGCCAGCGGGCUCAUGGGGCGCAAGGCCACCGAGGACUUCCUGGGCUCUUCCUCGGGCUACUCUUCUGAGGACGACUACGUGGGCUACUCAGAUGCAGACCAGCAGAGUUCUGGCUCGCGGCUCCGAAGCGCCGUCUCACGGGCGGGCUCCUUACUCUGGAUGGUGGCCACUUCGCCAGGCCGGCUCUUCAGACUUCUUUACUGGUGGGCUGGCACCACCUGGUACCGCCUGACCACAGCUGCCUCCCUCCUUGACGUCUUCGUUUUAACCAG